GGAUGAGUGAUCGAGCGGUUUAAGGUGCCAGUCUUGAAAACUGGUGUGUUGCAAACACCGUGGGUUCGAAUCCCACCUUAUCCA
This is a non-coding RNA of Tribonema minus, 84 nucleotides long. NCBI's taxonomy places the organism in Eukaryota, Xanthophyceae, Tribonematales, Tribonemataceae. The record is from the annotation of a GenBank genome assembly.